This 346-nucleotide ribosomal RNA is filed under the name uncultured bacterium. Its description in RNAcentral is "partial 16S ribosomal RNA". It matches the Rfam family "Bacterial small subunit ribosomal RNA", at positions 338 to 681 of the family's 1533-position model. The record is from RNAcentral.
CCUACGGGUGGCAGCAGUGAGGAAUAUUGGUCAAUGGACGAGAGUCUGAACCAGCCAAGUAGCGUGAAGGAUGACUGCCCUAUGGGUUGUAAACUUCUUUUAUAAAGGAAUAAAACGAGGCACGUGUGCCUUUUUGCAUGUACUUUAUGAAUAAGGAUCGGCUAACUCCGUGCCAGCAGCCGCGGUAAAACGGAGGAUCCGAGCGUUAGACGGCUUUAUUGGGUUUCAAGGGAGCGUAGAGGGGUUGUUAAGUCCGUUGUGAAAGUUUGCGGCUCCACCGGAAAAUUGCAAUUGAUACUGGCAGUCUUGCGUACAGUUGAGGUAGGCGUACUUCGUGGUGUAGCGG